RNAcentral lists this long non-coding RNA (299 nucleotides) under Elaeis guineensis (African oil palm). Its description in RNAcentral is "long non-coding RNA (EGUI_LNC081236)". Lineage: Eukaryota; Viridiplantae; Streptophyta; Magnoliopsida; Arecales; Arecaceae. The record is from RNAcentral.
CUUUUCAGUUCCACUCAAGUCUUCAAUGUUUGGAGGAGGAGCCUGAUUAUGUAUUGGGUUUAGGCCUCCAAGGACUGCUUGGAGGAUCCUUCCAGUUCCACUCAAGCCUCGAAUGUUUGGAGGAGCGUGAUUAUGGUGCGGGUCUGGACCUCCGGGAACUGUUGGGAGCUUUGGUCCACCGCUAAGGAGCCUGGAGUGCCCAUCAGCUCUUGCUCCAAGACUAUUAUCAAGAGCCAAUGCAAACAUCAGCACAAUACAAAGUGCUACUUUGGGCCCCAUAUCUCUAAUCAACACUUUGU